GCAGAGACUGACGAGUACUUGAUCGGACGGUUUAGGCUUCCAAUACACGUUUUAAUGGAGCUGUGUGAUACUUUGGAGCCAGCGCUGCGAAGCCAUACUCAACGAUCCAAUCCCGUACAACCUCAUGUGCAGGUACUCUCCACCUUGGGAUUUUUAGCGACUGGGACAUUUCAGCGGGAGUUAGCAGACCGGGUGGGCAUAUCACAGCCAUCCAUCAGCCGCGCUCUCCCACGAGUUGUGGAUGGAAUAAAUCAACUGGCCACACAAUAUAUUUUCUUCCCCUACACAGCGCAACAACAGCUGCCGGUCAAGAGAAGGUUCUACUCUAUUACCGGUCUGCACAACGUAAUCGGGGCAAUAGACUGCACUCACGUGCGCAUUAAGGCACCCUCACCAGACCCAUUCCCAUACCUCAACCGCAAGCAAUAUCACUCAAUCAAUGUACAAGUAAUCUGCGACUCCGACAACCAUCUCUUGAACGUGGUCUCCCGCUUCCCAGGAGGUGCACAUGACUCUUAUAUUUUGCAGAACAGUUCUGUGGGAAUGCCCCUGGAACAAGGAGCUGCUGGAGACGCAUGGCUCAUUGGAGAUCGGGGGUAUGCCCUGGCUAAUGACGCCACUAACAAACCCUCAGACGCACCAAGAGGCCUCUUAUAACCAGAGGCACGCACGCACCCGCUCCACCAUUGAGCGAACCAUUGGUAUUCUGAAGGGACGCUGGCUGUGUUUGGACACAGCAGGCGGUAAGCUGCUUUACAAGCCAGAGAAGGUUUGCAGAAUAAUCAUGGCCUGUUGUGUGUUACACAUCGCUAUGAAGCGUGGUGUUCCACUUCCACUUCAGCCACCACACCAGGAUGUGCGUCCUGACCCAUUGCUGGGACCAGACAACCGACUUGGCGUGGAAGUCGGACAACAAAUACUUUCUUGUUUUUGAUUUGUUUUGUCCUUUAAAUACCACGAAUUAAACAC
Long non-coding RNA from Coregonus clupeaformis (lake whitefish), 969 nucleotides. RefSeq lists it as uncharacterized. Lineage: Eukaryota; Metazoa; Chordata; Actinopteri; Salmoniformes; Salmonidae. The transcript is spliced from 3 exons. The record is from RefSeq and is a predicted model, not a curated record.